GGGAGUGUAGCUUAGUAGUAGAGUACUUGUCUAGUACGUGUGAGGCUCUGGGUGGGAUCCCCAGCAUUGCUA
This 72-nucleotide transfer RNA is filed under the name Heterocephalus glaber (naked mole-rat). It matches the Rfam family "tRNA". From Rfam's summary of the family: Transfer RNA (tRNA) molecules are approximately 80 nucleotides in length. Their secondary structure includes four short double-helical elements and three loops (D, anti-codon, and T loops). The record is from Rfam by way of RNAcentral. Lineage: Eukaryota; Metazoa; Chordata; Mammalia; Rodentia; Bathyergidae.